Long non-coding RNA from Triplophysa dalaica, 936 nucleotides. RefSeq lists it as uncharacterized. The record is from RefSeq and is a predicted model, not a curated record. The transcript has 4 exons. Lineage: Eukaryota; Metazoa; Chordata; Actinopteri; Cypriniformes; Nemacheilidae.
AUCUUCUGUUAAGAGAUUGCAUUGUGACAAAGAAUGUGUGUGUUUGUGCGGAUGUAGUUUGUGUUUGUUUGUUUUUCUCUAUCUCUUUCUCUGUGUAGAUACAAAUAUUUGGGUAGUAAACAAAAGAACCAUAGUGACAGCAACAAAUCUGAAAACAAAACUGUAAUUUUUCUGAGGUGAAGUAAUCCGGAGUCAUUUAUUUCACAGAAUCACGUUAAAUGCAUUUAUGGUGAAAUUCAUUAUGAGGGGUGGUGGUCAACUUAAAAAGAAGCCAUUCAAAGCUAUACUAUGUAAUUCAAGUGGACUUCUCUGUAAGAACAUCAGACUCUUCAUAGAAGAUGAAGACUUGCCAUGAUCAAGAAUACCAGCUAUUUGCUGAAGUUCAUCUUCCAAACGAACAGCAUGGAGUACAGUACUCAUCAGAUGCUGUGAACAGGUGUAGCCCAAAUGCAACAGAUUCAGACUUUGAUGCAGCAAUGGCAGAUCACCUGAAGCACACUGGGGUUGAUGGAUACUUGUUUUAUGGCUGUUUUAACAGUAAUACAAGACUGUUAGGAAAUAAUUUGGUAGUGCCAUAGCUCUGACUUUUAACCAUUAAUGGUGGAAAACAUGAAUCACACUCCCGGAAGAGCCGGUGGUCGGGGACCAAGAAAAUGAGUAAACAUUUUGAAAAAAAUGGACUAAAGUAGUGUCAUAUGUUUUUGUAAUACUGUACUUUUGUCAUUUUCAUGUUUGAUUAAUGGCUGCUAAACAUCAAUGUUAAACUCCAUUGCUUUCGAGAUUCUACUAUUUUUAUUUUCUUGUUUGAAUAGUAGCUGUCAAACAAAUGGAAGACCAUUCAAAAAUGUGAUGUUCACUAUAAAAUAUGCUGUGCUAAAUUAAAACACUAAAUUUUGCCUAAAUCCACAAAUAAAGUGUUAUUGUUUGUGAUGUGCA